RNA transcript from Lolium rigidum, 4169 nucleotides. It is a transcript of the gene named probable WRKY transcription factor 2, with no coding region annotated. The transcript is spliced from 11 exons. Lineage: Eukaryota; Viridiplantae; Streptophyta; Magnoliopsida; Poales; Poaceae. The record is from RefSeq and is a predicted model, not a curated record.
UUUCACCCAAACCACUCCCCCAAUCAGUGGCGUCCUCUCGUCCCCAAUCCGCCGCCCUCCUCUCCUCACCCAAUCUCCACCUCGUGUCCCCUCUCCUCUUCUCCUUCCCCAAUCCAAUGACGGCAGAGGUGGGCGGACUUGGCGAGCGGUAGGAGCGGAAGCAACUUGCGGCGCAUCUGGAGGAACUCCGGGUGCUCUGAUGGCGGCGGCGGUCGGACUGGACUGUGGCGGCAGCGAGCAGACGGGAACGGCUGGUCGUCUCGUGGACGGCGGCGGUGGACUGCCGAUGGCUGCAGCGGAUCGCAUCCCCAACCCUAGCAGGCGGUCCUCCUCUAGAUCCCGACCCGAACCCAACCCAGGCCAGGAGCGCGGUGGCGGCGGCGACUACCCCGACCCAAAGCGCGGCAGCGGCGGCCACGUGCGGCCGCUUGUCGUCAGCGGCGGCGACUAGGGUUGCUGGCCUCAAAACCCUAGCCGCUGCCUUUGCCUCGUCGUCCCUGUUCUCCUCGAGGAGGAGCUGGUCUGGAGGCGCUCAAGGAGCUCGAGCUCCGCCGUGCGUCCCCGGCUCCAUGGAGACCAGCAGAAGCGGCGCUCGACUGCAGCUCUGCCCCGACCCCGAUCCAGGGCAGCCCGGAAAGCCCCACGGCCUCCUCUACUGGAGUAGGCCGACGCCCAUGAGCAGCGUGGGUUAGGGACCUCGACGUUGGCCUCUACAUCGAGCAGGCGACCUCGACAUCUAGCAGCGAGCACCGGUUCCGAUCAGUCAGGACUAGAUGCGAUGCAUCUGCCGUCUCUGUUGCCCAGCCGGGUGCCAAAUGGCUCCACGGGGCAGCAUUUUGUGAGGUGACGUUGAUGCUUGCCCUUCUCUUGGAGAAUACUUGAUAAUUUCCUAAUCCCCUAAACAUGCCUUGGCAUUGGAUGGAUCAAGGAGCAGGUUACAGUUUAUGUUUUUGGUCAAAGUUUCCUCUAUUUUUCUGCUCUUAGCCUCUAUUACAGUCUGUUCUAUCUUGCUACACAUUGGAUCCUGCUGCAGUUGUAUUUACUAUUUACUAUUAUAUAAAAAUCAGCCAUGUGCAAGCAACGGAGCUUAAUUUGUACAGUUGGCCAUAUCGACUACUGAGAAGGCUCAGUUGGUGUUGGAUGUGAUGUCUUGGUGGGAUAUGUUUUUCUAUUGGAUGCCUACAGUAACUACAGGAUGCAAGAAGAACUUUGCAGGCAGUCCGGGGACUCUAUCACAAGUUGCUCAAUGUAACCUUCGCAAUGGGCGGUGGCUGCAGCACGGUGAAACAAUUCGGGUCCACUCUCUCGAGUGGCUCGACGUGUCCUUCGCAAUCAGUGGAAGCUGCUGCAUGCCAAAAAGAAGACAAGGUCAAGUGGAACUGACUCUGGCGAGGAGUAUAUGUGAAAGAUAGACUUGACUUUACAUUAGGCCAUUGAUCAAAUAACAUCUUCGUUUGGGAGGGGAGCAAUAAUGUGGCUUGGCUGCUCUGAAAGUCACAGAGAAGUACCUGGUGUGUCUACUGGGUCUUUCUCUCUGGAUCUUGCACUAGGGAUCAGUAGGCUUCCAAAGGUAGCAUGCCAUUACUCUUUGGAGGGACGUGUUUUAGAUGUGUAUGGUCCAGAGGCUUCAGGGAAGACAACUCUUGCUUCAGUGGACAACUCUUGCAUUCUUUUCACAAAACAAUCUAAUAUUGAAUGUUGCCUUUUAGAAAUCUGGAAUUUAGUUGGUUACAGAUUUAUAUACUAUUAGUAAACCUUGCUGGCGAGUUAGAUAUAGGCUCAUUUAGGUUUUUUUUUGUCCUUGUACUUGCUUGACAGAAGUAAAAUUUUCUGAUAUGGUCGACUGAAGUUGCCUACUGAUGUUUUUGGUCCAAGAAGAAGGGGUAGAUGCAAAUGCAUUACCUUGACCACAAAGCAACAUUGCAAAAUGCUAAAUGCUAAUACGAUAAUUAUUAUUUUUUCCUUUACUGAUACAAUAUAGGAUCCUUAAAGCAAGUGCAUCAUUUUUACUUAAACACAUUCCACAAAUUUACUGCUCGAAGAGCCCAUCUUAAAGGUCUUGUACAUGAACACUCCAGGUUAGUAGAUAAUGACAUUUCAAUUUUCGAAACUUUGUUUGCGCAAUAGUUUUUAAUGUGAUGUGUCUAAGGAGGAACAAAAUUUUAAAUGAUCUGGUCUCGAUUAUAUAACCAUUUAGACGCUUCACUCUAUGAUUUUAACCCUACAAGUUUGAGUGCUAUUUACCUCUCUGCAGAACUCUUUCAAAAAAUUUAACCCCACAAGUUUCAGUAAUACUCACCUCACUGCAGAACUAUUUUUUCUUGUAAGAACUUCUGAAUUUGUUCUCGGUAAUCUACCUUCUAUUUUUCUUGAUACACCUAGGUGUUACUUGAAUUCUUCAGAUUUUAUAGAGGUCAUUAUAGAGGGUACGAUAUCAUAUGGUUUCAAAAUUGUUCCACAUUUAGUUAUUUUCGCAACCCAGAGAAGGUUUUCAAUAUAAAUGAAUAAUUAAGUAGAUCCCUGGCUAUGCUUUGGUGGACUCCAGAGGCAAACAUGUACCUCAGAUAGGUGAAUGGCCGUUCGAGGGGUUUUGAAUACCUGAGCAUUACAACAUGAUAUUGUGAUUAGUAGUGGAAGGAGUGCAGAAGCUUAUUAUAAUGCUACCGUUUAGAUAAUUAUAACCAUGCUAUUCUGCAGAUAUAAGGUUCUAUCUCUGUUCGCAAUGCAUUAUAUUAUUCAUUUGUGCCAUGUUGGUAUCCCUUAGAUAGUUCCCAAUGCUCAUUUCCGCGGGCACUGUCUGUCAAUGAACGCCUCAUAUCUCACAUUUUCCGAAGAAGUUAACUUGUGGUUUGUUCCAGGGGUCCCCUAUAUUCUAUUUCUAUUUGGUAUGCCUUCUAGCGUUCAUAUGCUCCAUUACAAUUGCCUCUUAUAAAACAUUGUGAUUCUUUUUGGCUACCAUAGGUAUCGUCCCCUUUUCUUUCUCUUUAUCUCUAGAUGUUUAGAUGGAUUCGUGUUGAUCUGAGAUGUUACCUUGUGGUAUUGUUCUUCCCUUUUUAUCCCAGGACGUGAUUCUAUCCUCCCCUUCUCUUUCUCUUUAUUUCUAGAUUUUUAGAUGGAUUCUUCUUGAUCUGAGAUGUUUACUUUCUUCCCUUCUAAUACUAGGAUGUGAUUCGUUUUGCUAAGAUGAGUUGGCAGCACUUUAAUGGACCUGGCCGUUGAUUUACGAUGUUAUAUUGGCUCAUAUGUUUCAAAUUUGCUAAUGUUUUUUUCUCUACUUGACGUCUUGAAUGCUUUACACAUGUUGAGGUUUUACUUUGAAGAUUUGGGUUUGGGUGGCCCAAGAUUUCUACGAUGUUGUUGGUAACGACCAACAUCGGUACAAGAGGAUUUAGUGCUUAUCUCUUCUGUAGGAUAAUUGUUCACUCCAGUUAUGAAGUUUCCAUAUUUAGAGGGCUGACUCAUGGUGCUGGAUGCCACUUUUGUUUAUAUCAUUUGCCUCAUCGUCAUUUCUGAAGUUAGAUGUGUUAGCUAUCACCACCAGUACAAUUGGCAUGGUGGCUGCAGAAUCAAGGGCCAUAAGGGAGCCUCGUGUUGUUCAGAAGACAACCAAGGUUGGCAUCUUUUUAAUUCUUAUCGUUGGUGCAAGUAAGGUCAGAAGGAUGCUAAAGGAAAUCCAAAUCCAAGUAGGCAAGCAUGUGGAAAGGGCGUCAUAUGAUGUGAACUAUGUUAUCAUGACAAAGAGGGAAGGGCACAACCAUGAAGUUCGAGCAGCCAGAAAUAGCGGGCAUGUGAGCGAUGGUUCUGGGAGUGCUCUCAGAGGCCAACUGGAGUCAUUCAACUUCCUCUUCAGGAAUGGCAGACUACGAUCUGCCUUCCCACCUGCAAAUGCAGCAUGGCCAGCUAACCGAUUGAUGAUUUGGUAUAUUACGAGUUAGGCCCAGUUUAUCACUUUCUUCCAGUUUAUGGCCUCUUUGUGAUGCCUUUUUCCUUUGCCUGCUAUAAUUUAUGUGUUAAUACUCUACUGGUUCAUUAUACUCCAAUCUAGAGGUUUUCCAAUACUGCGAUGGAGUUCAUUUUCAGAAUCUUGUUAUGUUAAGGAAAAACAAUGUAGUUUACACAGUUCAGAAAUUCUCAAUUUGCAUAAAAUAUAUUAUGUGUUACUUGCGAAA